Molecule: long non-coding RNA, 455 nt
Organism: Spodoptera frugiperda (fall armyworm)
Lineage: Eukaryota; Metazoa; Arthropoda; Insecta; Lepidoptera; Noctuidae
Exons: 3
Source: RefSeq, a predicted model, not a curated record
AUAAAUCAAGUAGGUUUGGAACUUUGCAGUAAAGGUUUGUUGAACUGUUUAGUUGUUGUUUGUUUGUUAUACAAGAAGGUAUCGAAGUAUUUACAAAAUGUGCAGAUUCAUAUGUUCAUUAUUUUGGCUGCUACUCCUGGUACUCGUCGCUUUUUGGUUAGCUCUUCUUGUCGCGGUGUUGUACGUUUUUCUCCUGCCCUUCACAGUCUGUAUAGGAGCGUUAGCGGGUCCCGCAGACUUCUUACUCGUCGUGGUACAGUUCCCGCGAUUCUGUGCAAGAUCUAUGAUGAUUGGAAAAGGAUUCAAGUAGUUUUAAGUACUGGUCUAGUCAAAUGAUUAUUUUAAUUAUUUAUCCUGAAUGUAUUAUCCAACAAAAAGUUUUUUUUAUCAAAAAAUGCGAUACGCAUCGGCGUAUCAUGAGCAAAUAAACAUUUAAUAAAAUAAAAUUAUAUUUA